UAGCUCUCACUCGCUCGCUGACCCGUUCCUCGCAUAACCAUAACUCGGAUCUUCGACUCGUUCCCUCCCAGCCCGAGCCACCCAACUCGCUCAUCAUGGCGCGGGCACACAGUCACCUCCUUCUCCUCAUCACCACCACCAUUUUCUCCCUCGCUCCUUGCUGCGUUGCCGGCGACCCCCUGCUCCUCCGCAACAGCCAUCGAAGCUCCCACACCGCAAUGGUCCUUCCAUUGUACCUCUCUCCACCGAAUUCCUCCACCUCAGCGCUCGAUCCUCGUCGCCAGCUUCAGGGAUCCGAGUCCCAGCGCCACCCUAACGCUCGCAUGAGGCUCCACGACGAUCUCCUCCUCAAUGGGUAAAUCAACCUCUUCCACCAUCGCAACAAAUACAUUUUGCUUCCUUUUAUUUUCGUUUAUUUUAUUUAUUGUGAUUCNNNGAGCACAGUUACGUAUGUUCCUUGCUCCACUUGCGAACAGUGUGGCAGCCACCAGGAUCCGAAGUUCCAGCCAGACUCAUCAAGCACUUAUCAAGCUGUCAAAUGUACAUUGGAUUGCAACUGUGACACUGACAAGAACCAAUGUGUGUAUGAGAGACAGUAUGCUGAAAUGAGUUCUAGCAGUGGUGUCCUUGGCGAGGAUGUCAUAUCCUUUGGAAAUCAGAGUGAGCUUUCCCCACAGCGAGCUGUUUUUGGUUGUGAAACUGUUGAGACUGGUGAUCUUUAUAGCCAGCAUGCUGAUGGCAUCAUGGGAUUGGGCCGUGGAGAUCUUAGCAUCAUGGAUCAACUAGUUGAUAAAAAUGUAAUAAGUGAUUCAUUCUCUCUAUGCUAUGGUGGAAUGGAUGUUGGUGGAGGCGCAAUGGUUCUUGGUGGCAUAUCUCCCCCAUCGGGCAUGGUCUUUGCAAAUUCAGAUCCUGUGCGAAGCCCAUAUUACAAUAUCGAUUUGAAGGAGAUACAUGUUGCGGGGAAGAAACUGCCUCUAGACCCACAGGUUUUUGAUAAGAAACAUGGAACUGUCUUGGAUAGUGGUACGACUUAUGCUUACCUACCAGAAGCUGCAUUUCAUGCAUUUAAAGACGCUAUUGAGAGGGAACUUAAUUCAUUCAAGCAAAUCAGUGGUCCAGAUCCAAAUUACAAUGAUAUAUGUUUUUCUGGUGCUGGAAGUGAUGUUUCUCAACUCUCGAAAAGCUUUCCAGUGGUUGACAUGGUAUUUGGAAAUGGUAUGAAGUAUUCACUGUCACCUGAAAAUUACAUGUUCCGGCAUUCAAAAGUGCGAGGUGCUUAUUGUCUAGGGGUAUUCCAGAAUGGAAAGGAUCCAACUACUCUUUUAGGAGGUAUCGUUGUCCGAAACACUCUUGUUACAUAUGAUCGUGAGCAUACAAAAAUUGGUUUCUGGAAAACUAAUUGUGCUGAGUUGUGGGAAAGAUUACAAGUCUCCAAUGCCUCACCGUUGAUGCCUCCAAAUUCAGGAGUAACAAAUUCUUCCCAAACAUUUGAACCUUCGGUUGCUCCAUCUGCAUCACAGCAUAAUGCACCUCCAGGUGAAAUCCAAAUUGCACAAAUAACACUUGCAAUUUCAUUUAACAUCAGCUACGUGGAUAUGAAGCCUCGCAUUCCUGAAUUGACUGGGCUCAUUGCUCAUGGGUUAGAUGUUAAUACUUCUCAGGUUCACUUGCUGAAUUUGACUUCUUUUGGAAGUUAUUCCAUAUCUAGAUGGGCCAUAACCCCGAGUGCACAUGCAAGUUACAUUUCUAACACAACUGCAAAGAAUAUAAUUGGCCGGCUUGCUGAACACCAUGUGCAACUUCCUGGCACCUUUGGGAGUUAUAAGUUGAUUCAUUGGAAUGUUGAGCCUUCAUCAAAACGGAAUUGGUGGCAGCAAUACUAUUGGGUUGUGGGUUUAGCCGUUUUGAUCGCAUUGCUUAUAGGAUUAUCGGCAUUUGGAAUAUUCGUAAUUUGGAAAAGAAGACAGGAAAGCGCACAUACUUACAAGCCAGUGAAUGCGGCUGUUCCAGAGCAAGAACUACAGCCAUUAUGAGCUAUAUAUAUAAUGUUAUGCAGCUGCUGCUUGCUAUCUUUGCUUGAUUGGUGUCAGUAGCAUAUCCAACUUCUAUCAAGGCUCAAUUUGUGCAAACCUGGUCAAUCAACUGAUUAGAUUUUUUUUUUAACAACGAUUAUUCUGCUCACGAUAACCAGUGAUCAUUGAAUUCUGAUAGAGGCACAGAAAAUUCUCUAGAUAUUCCAUCAUCUGUAAAACGCUAUUUUCUUUUUCUUCUUAUUUUUGUGAAUAUUGUAAUAUACAGGUGAAUGAUACAGUGGCAGCAUACAGUUGAGAUGCAAUUUCAUAUAUUGUAAUUUUUGCAUUUCUAUU
This is a non-coding RNA of Arachis ipaensis, 2366 nucleotides long. The record is from RefSeq and is a predicted model, not a curated record. Lineage: Eukaryota; Viridiplantae; Streptophyta; Magnoliopsida; Fabales; Fabaceae.